This 223-nucleotide long non-coding RNA is filed under the name Cicer arietinum (chickpea). RNAcentral describes it as "long non-coding RNA (CARI_LNC001807)". The record is from RNAcentral. Lineage: Eukaryota; Viridiplantae; Streptophyta; Magnoliopsida; Fabales; Fabaceae.
GCGUCGUCGGUGAGGCGAGCAAUCCCCGGAGAAGCAGAAGAAGGAACUGAAGAAAACUCAUCGAUGCAUGUCAAUGGAAACUCUCGCUGCUUCUGCUUCGUCGCCGCCAAUUCUUCCAUUAUCGCCGAGCUCAACUACAGCAAAAACGUUUUUCUUGCUUUUUUUUUUUCUUUUCGAAAAUUAUUUAAUUAUGAGAUACUCCCUCCUUUUUUAACACAGAAAU